GAAGCAGGUGAUGAGAACAUGACAGGGACAUCAGUACCCUCUGUUUUGGAGAUGGGAAUGAUCGACUAAGUCUACAAUGGGAAUCUCUCUGAUGCUUU
This 98-nucleotide small nucleolar RNA is filed under the name Leersia perrieri. RNAcentral describes it as "snoRNA snoR44_J54". It matches the Rfam family "Small nucleolar RNA R44/J54/Z268 family". From Rfam's summary of the family: R44, J54 and Z268 are members of the C/D class of snoRNA which contain the C (UGAUGA) and D (CUGA) box motifs. Most of the members of the box C/D family function in directing site-specific 2'-O-methylation of substrate RNAs. The record is from Rfam by way of RNAcentral. Lineage: Eukaryota; Viridiplantae; Streptophyta; Magnoliopsida; Poales; Poaceae.